GCCUCUGUGGUGUAGUGGUAGCACGCGUUCCCGAUAUGGAUGAAGACCGGUCCAACUCCGAGCUGAGGUC
This is a non-coding RNA of Parelaphostrongylus tenuis, 70 nucleotides long. NCBI's taxonomy places the organism in Eukaryota, Metazoa, Nematoda, Chromadorea, Rhabditida, Metastrongylidae. The record is from the annotation of a GenBank genome assembly.